AUUGAACGCUGGCGGCAGGCCUAACACAUGCAAGUCGAGCGGAUGAAGGGAGCUUGCUCCUGGAUUCAGCGGCGGACGGGUGAGUAAUGCCUAGGAAUCUGCCGGGUAGUGGGGGAUAACGUCCGGAAACGGGCGCUAAUACCGCAUACGUCCUGAGGGAGAAAGUGGGGGAUCUUCGGACCUUACGCUAUCAGAUGAGCCUAGGUCGGAUUAGCUAGUUGGUGGGGUAAAGGCCUACCAAGGCGACGACCCGUAACUGGUCUGAGAGGAUGAUCAGUCACACUGGAACUGAGACACGGUCCAGACUCCUACGGGAGGCAGCAGUGGGGAAUAUUGGACAAUGGGCGAAAGCCUGAUCCAGCCAUGCCGCGUGUGUGAAGAAGGUCUUCGGAUUGUAAAGCACUUUAAGUUGGGAGGAAGGGCAGUAAGUUAAUACCUUGCUGUUUUGACGUUACCAACAGAAUAAGCACCGGCUAACUUCGUG
This 484-nucleotide ribosomal RNA is filed under the name uncultured bacterium. Its description in RNAcentral is "partial 16S ribosomal RNA". It matches the Rfam family "Bacterial small subunit ribosomal RNA", at positions 30 to 507 of the family's 1533-position model. The record is from RNAcentral.